AUUGAACGCUGGCGGCAUGCCUUACACAUGCAAGUCGAACGGUAACAGGUCUUCGGAUGCUGACGAGUGGCGAACGGGUGAGUAAUACAUCGGAACGUGCCUAGUAGUGGGGGAUAACUACUCGAAAGAGUGGCUAAUACCGCAUGAGAUCUACGGAUGAAAGCAGGGGAUCGCAAGACCUUGUGCUACUAGAGCGGACGAUGGCAGAUUAGGUAGUUGGUGGGAUAAAAGCUUACCAAGCCAACGAUCUGUAGCUGGUCUGAGAGGACGAUCAGCCACACUGGGACUGAGACACGGCCCAGACUCCUACGGGAGGCAGCAGUGGGGAAUUUUGGACAAUGGGCGCAAGCCUGAUCCAGCAAUGCCGCGUGCAGGAUGAAGGCCUUCGGGUUGUAAACUGCUUUUGUACGGAACGAAAAGCCCCGGGUAAAUACCCUGGGGUCAUGACGGUACCGUAAGAAUAAGCACCGGCUAACUACGUGCCAGCCGCCGCGGUAA
Molecule: ribosomal RNA, 498 nt
Filed under: uncultured bacterium
Lineage: Bacteria
Description: partial 16S ribosomal RNA
Rfam family: Bacterial small subunit ribosomal RNA
Source: RNAcentral